AGCUGAGAGGGAGAUCUUUACUGUUUUCCGUAUAAAAAUGUCCAUCAGUUGGGGGUCAUAGGGGUUGAAGGAAGAUGCUCAUACAGCAACAGCAAGGUGGGCCACCCGGCAGCCUUUCCACCCUCUCUCAUGCAGGCCUUGCUCAGAGUCCCAACCGGUCCACAGGUCCAGGGUGAACAGUGAGAGGGGUGAGAGGUGGAAGGCUCAGCAAGAGAGCAGAGGAGGAUCAGCGGAGGUCAAGAGAAGGCCAGAAUCCAGGGUCAGGCUGUCUGGAACAGGAAGUAAAAUGGGCCGAGAUGGGGCGAGCCCCAAGGUCCUCGUUUUCCUGAAGCCUUGCAGUCACUUAGGGCAAAUGGAGCCUGAAGAGUGGAGUCCAACUGAGAGUGGGAAAGGCCCGUCUUCUACUUCUCUUCUGGGAGAGAUGUAUGAAUGUGGAAGGCUACCAGUUCUCCAGGGACUUUGUUGCUAACAAAACUAGCAACAAAGUAGGAAAGAUGUUGAGCUGGAAGGGAGUUUGAGGAAGAUGGAACAAUGGGUAUGGAGGAAGAAAGCUGCCCACCCGCCCUUUCUCUGCCAGCCAACCCUCCCUCACACUGUCCGUUCCUUGAUGACACAGCUGAUGUGAUUAAGAUCGUCCCCAAAUCGCUUCACAGCAGCCCUCAGCAUCUCUAUCUCCGUCUCCGUCCACUUGGCACUGUCAGAAGGGGAGAAGGGAAUAGCGAAAGUGGGAGGAAGAGGGGUGUGGAGCCAGCCCACAGGCUACGCAUUCCACAGCAACCAGCCUCCUCCCCGCGAUGCCUGGGGCCCCUUGCAUAAAGAGGUCCUCCUUAGAAAAACAAAAACAAAAGCAAAAAACAAAAUUCUUAAGGCGCCGUGGGAACCCUGCGGACCCCCAACCACACGAUAUUGUAACAACCGCCACCUUAGAAGAAAACUUCUCCCCCAUCAACGUGAAACAGCUGCUUAUGUACACAGCCCACUGAAACCCAUCCAACAAGUGGGGGUCUUACAGACAGAGCCUCUAAACACAGUCUGCUGCAGUCUGACAGAAUUCCACAUGAUUUGGGGGGUGGUGUGGUGUGGGUAGUGGUGGCGGUCUAUGGUCUACCAGUUCGCAGCAGGGUAGAGCUGUGAAAUGAGUCCGGAUUAUGAGCCUCGGUCUGUGGUUUAUCUGUCAUUCAUUCAUUCAACAAUCAUUUAUUAACACCUACUCUGCGCUGUGCCAGGCACAAAGGGAAACUAACAUCUGUCCCUGCCCUAGAGAGUGUCGGUGUCUGUGAUCGAGACCCAGCGUCCGCUCUCAGCGUCCAUCUCCCAGCCCGGGCUCACGUACCCCGCGGGGGAAGAGUCGGCCACGGGAUGCAGCUGCAUGGUCAGCUCCCCGAGCUUCGUGAAGGCGGCGCCCGCCGCGGAGAAGAUCUCUCCAACCUGGGGGGCGGGGCAGCAUUACGGGGGGCCGGCGCACAGUGCCGCGCCGGACCGCCCGGAGCCCCUAGCCCCAACCCAGGCUGGACUCCCGCCCGCCC
Molecule: long non-coding RNA, 1526 nt
Organism: Lagenorhynchus albirostris (white-beaked dolphin)
Lineage: Eukaryota; Metazoa; Chordata; Mammalia; Artiodactyla; Delphinidae
Exons: 3
Source: RefSeq, a predicted model, not a curated record